GUUCUUUUCGAGGUCGGCCGCGUGGCUGGAAGACAUGGCCACUCCAGUCGGUGUUGAGCACGGCGAGCAGUCUCAGGCCUUUAGUGAUGAUGGUGCAGUCAGCCUCAGUUUCCAAAGCCGGAAAAGGAUCCUCUAGUAGCCACGGUGUGGCAGCUGCUCUGAACCAGGACCUGGACCCGGACCCAAAGUGCCAUGUCUUUAAUGUGAGUAAGUAGACGAACUGGUAAACAGGCUUGGUUUGGUUUGGGGGAGUGGUAAUCUUUUUUGCUUCCCCUGCUCUGGACUUAAAGCAAUGGGGGCAGGGAGACUUUAGUAGCAUUUUGUUGCUAGGUGUCUGCAAUAAGAGACGAAACUGAACUGCUUUGCCGGAAACAAGUGAAAUGAUUGCUUUCCUGUUUGUAAGAUUUGUUUACAUCUUUCGUAUCCGUAAGAAGUCCCACAAGCCUAUGAUGGUUAGUUAUCCCUGUCUGAAAAUCUGGACUGAGGGAAAUAAUCUAUUCUGAGGCUUAAGGGUUUGGCUCCAUGGUUUUUUUUUUGUUUUUGUUUUUUUUCCCCU
Molecule: long non-coding RNA, 556 nt
Organism: Homo sapiens (human)
Lineage: Eukaryota; Metazoa; Chordata; Mammalia; Primates; Hominidae
Gene: SNHG16
Product: small nucleolar RNA host gene 16
Source: Ensembl